RNAcentral lists this ribosomal RNA (434 nucleotides) under uncultured bacterium. RNAcentral's name for it is "partial 16S ribosomal RNA". It matches the Rfam family "Bacterial small subunit ribosomal RNA", at positions 29 to 507 of the family's 1533-position model. The record is from RNAcentral.
AGCGAACGCUGGCGGCAGGCCUAACACAUGCAAGUCGAACGAACCUUUCGGGGUUAGUGGCGGACGGGUGAGUAACACGUGGGAACGUGCCUUUAGGUUCGGAAUAACUCAGGGAAACUUGUGCUAAUACCGAAUGUGCCCUUCGGGGGAAAGAUUUAUCGCCUUUAGAGCGGCCCGCGUCUGAUUAGCUAGUUGGUUGAGGUAAUGGCUCACCAAGGCGACGAUCAGUAGCUGGUCUGAGAGGAUGAUCAGCCACAUUGGGACUGAGACACGGCCCAAACUCCUACGGGAGGCAGCAGUGGGGAAUCUUGCGCAAUGGGCGAAAGCCUGACGCAGCCAUGACGCGUGAAUGAUGAAGGUCUUAGGAUUGUAAAAUUCUUUAACCGGGGACGAUAAUGACGGUACCCGGAGAAGAAGCCCCGGCUAACUUCGUG